AAAACUGAGGUGGUAUACGAUGGUUCCGCGUCUGAUUAGCUAGUUGGUGGGGUAAUGGCCUACCAAGGCAACGAUCAGUAGCCGGCCUGAGAGGGUGAACGGCCACAUUGGGACUGAGACACGGCCCAAACUCCUACGGGAGGUAGCAGUGGGGAAUAUUGCACAAUGGGGGAAACCCUGAUGCAGCGACGCCGCGUGAGUGAAGAAGUAUUUCGGUAUGUAAAGCUCUAUCAGCAGGGAAGAAAAACCGACCAUAGGGUCGCUAGACGGUACCUGAUUAAGAAGCCCCGGCUAACUACGUGCCAGCAGCCGCGGUAAUACGUAGGGGGCAAGCGUUAUCCGGAUUUACUGGGUGUAAAGGGAGCGUAGACGGCAGCGCAAGUCUGAAGUGAAAUGCCGGGGCUUAACCCCGGAACUGCUUUGGAAACUGAGCAGCUAGAGUGCAGGAGAGGUAAGUGGAAUUCCUAGUGUAGCGGUGAAAUGCGUAGAUAUUAGGAGGAACACCAGUGGCGAAGGCGGCUUACUGGACUGUAACUGACGUUGAGGCUCGAAAGCGUGGGGAGCAAACAGGAUUAGAUACCCUGGUAGUCCACGCGGUAAACGAUGAUUACUAGGCGUUGGGGGACCAAGGUCCUUCG
This 638-nucleotide ribosomal RNA is filed under the name uncultured bacterium. RNAcentral describes it as "bacterial SSU rRNA". It matches the Rfam family "Bacterial small subunit ribosomal RNA", at positions 202 to 842 of the family's 1533-position model. The record is from RNAcentral.